GGCUGGCAGUGGUCUUAAGCAUGCAAGUCAAACGGGAUGUAGCAAUACAUUUAGUGGCGAACGGGUGAGUAACGCGUGGAUGAUCUACCUACGAGAUGGGGAUAACUAUUAGAAAUAGUAGCUAAUACCGAAUAAAGUCAAUUAAUUUGUUAAUUGAUGAAAGGAAGCCUUUAAAGCUUCGCUUGUAGAUGAGUCUGCGUCUUAUUAGCUAGUUGGUAGGGUAAAUGCCUACCAAGGCGAUGAUAAGUAACCGGCCUGAGAGGGUGAACGUC
RNAcentral lists this ribosomal RNA (272 nucleotides) under uncultured Borrelia sp. RNAcentral describes it as "partial 16S ribosomal RNA". It matches the Rfam family "Bacterial small subunit ribosomal RNA", at positions 35 to 309 of the family's 1533-position model. Lineage: Bacteria; Pseudomonadati; Spirochaetota; Spirochaetia; Spirochaetales; Borreliaceae. The record is from RNAcentral.